AUGAUGUGGAUUAAUUCGAUGCAACGCGAAAAACCUUACCUACCCUUGACAUGUCUGGAAAGCCGAAGAGAUUUGGCCGUGCUCGCAAGAGAACCGGAACACAGGUGCUGCAUGGCUGUCGUCAGCUCGUGUCGUGAGAUGUUGGGUUAAGUCCCGCAACGAGCGCAACCCUUGUCAUUAGUUGCUACGCAAGAGCACUCUAAUGAGACUGCCGGUGACAAACCGGAGGAAGGUGGGGAUGACGUCAAGUCCUCAUGGCCCUUAUGGGUAGGGCUUCACACGUCAUACAAUGGUCGGGACAGAGGGUCGCCAACCCGCGAGGGGGAGCCAAUCUCAGAAACCCGAUCGUAGUCCGGACCGCAGUCUGCAACUCGACUGCGUGAAGUCGGAAUCGCUAGUAAUCGCGGAUCAGAAUGUCGCGGUGAAUACGUUCCCGGGUCUUGUACACACCGCCCGUCACACCAUGGGAGUGGGUUUCACCAGAAGUAGGUAGCCUAACCGUAAGGAGGGCGCUUACCACGGUGGGAUUCAUGACUGGGGUGAAGUCGUAACAAGGUAGCCGUAUCGGAAGGUGCGGAUGGAUCACCUCCUU
This 592-nucleotide ribosomal RNA is filed under the name uncultured Alcaligenes sp. RNAcentral's name for it is "bacterial SSU rRNA". It matches the Rfam family "Bacterial small subunit ribosomal RNA", at positions 936 to 1532 of the family's 1533-position model. The record is from RNAcentral. Lineage: Bacteria; Pseudomonadati; Pseudomonadota; Betaproteobacteria; Burkholderiales; Alcaligenaceae.